This 433-nucleotide ribosomal RNA is filed under the name uncultured bacterium. Its description in RNAcentral is "partial 16S ribosomal RNA". It matches the Rfam family "Bacterial small subunit ribosomal RNA", at positions 29 to 507 of the family's 1533-position model. The record is from RNAcentral.
AAUGAACGCUGGCGGCAUGCCUAACACAUGCAAGUCGAACGAAGGCUUCGGCCUUAGUGGCGCACGGGUGCGUAACGCGUGGGAAUCUGCCCUUGGGUUCGGAAUAACAGUUAGAAAUGACUGCUAAUACCGGAUGAUGUCGUAAGACCAAAGAUUUAUCGCCCAAGGAUGGGCCCGCGUAGGAUUAGCUAGUUGGUGGGGUAAAGGCCUACCAAGGCGACGAUCCUUAGCUGGUCUGAGAGGAUGAUCAGCCACACUGGGACUGAGACACGGCCCAGACUCCUACGGGAGGCAGCAGUGGGGAAUAUUGGACAAUGGGCGAAAGCCUGAUCCAGCAAUGCCGCGUGAGUGAUGAAGGCCUUAGGGUUGUAAAGCUCUUUUACCCGGGAUGAUAAUGACAGUACCGGGAGAAUAAGCGCCGGCUAACUUCGUG